CGCAAUGGGCGGAAGCCUGACGCAGCGACGCCGCGUGAGGGAUGACGGCCUUCGGGUUGUAAACCUCUUUCAGCAGGGACGAAUGUAGACGGUACCUGUAGAAGAAGCACCGGCCAACUACGUGCCAGCAGCCGCGGUAAUACGUAGGGUGCGAGCGUUGUCCGGAAUUAUUGGGCGUAAAGAGCUCGUAGGCGGUCUGUCGCGUCGAAUGUGAAAACCCGGGGCUCAACUCCGGGCUUGCAUUCGAUACGGGCAGGCUAGAGUUCGGUAGGGGAGUCUGGAAUUCCUGGUGUAGCGGUGAAAUGCGCAGAUAUCAGGAGGAACACCGGUGGCGAAGGCGGGACUCUGGGCCGAUACUGACGCUGAGGAGCGAAAGCGUGGGGAGCGAACAGGUAUUGGAUACCCUGGUAGUCCACGCCGUAAACGUUGGGCGCUAGGUGUGGGGGUCCUUCCACGAUCUCCGUGCCGCAGCUAACGCAUUAAGCGCCCCGCCUGGGGAGUACGGCCGCAAGGCUA
Molecule: ribosomal RNA, 516 nt
Filed under: uncultured Actinomycetes bacterium
Lineage: Bacteria; Bacillati; Actinomycetota; Actinomycetes
Description: bacterial SSU rRNA
Rfam family: Bacterial small subunit ribosomal RNA
Source: RNAcentral